CAGUGUGUGGUAAAGUGCUUACAGUGCAGGUAGUGUGUGUGAGUUCUACCGCAGUGUGGGCACUUCUGUCACGCGCCG
RNAcentral lists this microRNA precursor (78 nucleotides) under Astyanax mexicanus (Mexican tetra). RNAcentral describes it as "mir-17 microRNA precursor family". It matches the Rfam family "mir-17 microRNA precursor family". From Rfam's summary of the family: This family represents the microRNA (miRNA) precursor mir-17, family, which includes mir-20, mir-91, and mir-103. miRNAs are transcribed as ~70nt precursors (modelled here) and subsequently processed by the Dicer enzyme to give a ~22nt product. In this case the mature sequence comes from the 3' arm of the precursor. The extents of the hairpin precursors are not generally known and are estimated based on hairpin prediction. The record is from Rfam by way of RNAcentral. Lineage: Eukaryota; Metazoa; Chordata; Actinopteri; Characiformes; Acestrorhamphidae.